AAACAAAACCCAUUUUUUUUCAUUUCAAAAUGGAAUGAUAGAAGUACAACAAAUACAUAAAAAUGAAAUCAAGAGUUCACACUCGCAUCAUCAGGAUUAACAAUAUCCUCUUCCUCUUCUACCUCUUCAUAUUCAUCUCUUUCACAUUCAGCGAUGGGGGCAGCACUGGUUUUAGCGGGACUAUUAGCAAGAAAAAAUCUAUUUAAGUUCUUCCACUCCUCAACGAACUCUUCCCAAGCAAGCCCCGAGGGAAAAUAGAUGUCAAAUCCAAGUUGAGCAUCUAUAAGGUGACUCAAAGCAUCGAAGUUUACCUUGCGAGCAUCAAAAGGCCCUCCAAUAACUUGAGCAUGUAGCAAAAUGUUGGAAUUCAAAUCUAGUAGGUAAUCUUGAAAAUUCUGCAUCAUUUCUUCCUGACACUUCGCCAAGGCUUCCUCGUGAUGCUUCUACGAGUCAGCCAUCUCAGUUGUAUGUUUCUCACCCAUGCCUUUGGUAGUUUCUUGGAGACCAACCUUUUCAGCUUGUAUUAACCUAAUUUCUUCAUUUAACUUCUCAUUGGCUCCUUCUGAAAGAGUGAGGCGUUCCUCUAGCCUUUUAUUGCACUCCACCAAAUUCUCAUAAUCUUCCUCUAACUUUCUAUGUAGUUCGUGAGCCCUCUCUAAAGCUUUCUUGGUGGACUGAUAGUCGUUCUCCACCCCUAAUUUAUUAGCCUCCUCCUCUAUCAUACCUUUUGCGAGCCCUAGACUAAUGACUUCAGUUUCAGCAAAAGCCACUUGCAGAGACAAUACAAGCUCUUUUAGCGAUGAUUUUUUGGUACAUCUUGAUAAGGCACAAGGGCAAACACAAUCUUUAACCUCCUAAAGCAUUGAUUCUUUCCACUUUCUACUCACCUCAGUAGGACAAUAAGGAAAUUUCUUCACACUUAAUUGAUCAUGCCAAGGAAACAAAGUAUUGAUUUCACCGUCAGAAGCCAAUAGCUUCAACGAACCUCCCGAA
Molecule: long non-coding RNA, 993 nt
Filed under: Gossypium raimondii (Peruvian cotton)
Lineage: Eukaryota; Viridiplantae; Streptophyta; Magnoliopsida; Malvales; Malvaceae
Description: long non-coding RNA (GRAI_LNC001228)
Source: RNAcentral